RNAcentral lists this ribosomal RNA (474 nucleotides) under uncultured bacterium. RNAcentral describes it as "bacterial SSU rRNA". It matches the Rfam family "Bacterial small subunit ribosomal RNA", at positions 34 to 507 of the family's 1533-position model. The record is from RNAcentral.
CGCUGGCGGCGUGCCUAACACAUGCAAGUCGAACGGAGAGUUCAUUGAGGAGACUUCGGUCAACGAGAUGAAUUCUUAGUGGCGGACGGGUGAGUAACGCGUGAGCAAUCUGCCUUUCAGAGGGGGAUAACAUUCUGAAAAGAAUGCUAAUACCGCAUAACGUAUUGAGAUGGCAUCUUCUUGAUACCAAAGGAGCAAUCCGCUGAAAGAUGAGCUCGCGUCUGAUUAGAUAGUUGGUGGGGUAACGGCCUACCAAGUCGACGAUCAGUAGCCGGACUGAGAGGUUGAACGGCCACAUUGGGACUGAGAUACGGUCCAGACUCCUACGGGAGGCAGCAGUGGGGAAUAUUGGGCAAUGGGCGCAAGCCUGACCUAGCGACGCCGCGUGAGUGAAGACGGUCUUCGGAUUGUAAAACUCUGUUGACAGGGACGAUAAUGACGGUACCUGUCGAGGAAGUCACGACUAACUACGUG